GGUGCCUCCACUGUCCGGGCUCUAGCCCCGCCCCUCCCCCGCCCCGCCCCGCCCCCGCCCCGCCCACCGGCCUCGCAGUCGACGCGGACGCCGAUCUUGUGCAUGGAGUCGCCAUUUUGCUCUUAGAGACGCCGCCAGGAGACCCAGCGCUUUCUUCCUUCUGCAGCCGAGGCUGCGGCGGGGCCGGGGCUGGGGUCGGGGCCAGGAGGAAUUUUGUUGUCAGAGAAUAAAAGGAGGUUGUCCAUAAUUGACUUUAAGCAGCAAUCAGUAAAACAUUGAGCUCUUCAGCUCCGCCUUUCUUGCUCUGGAAAUUGGAAAACCAAGAAGGUUUUGAUGUUUUGUGUGACGCCACCUGAAUUAGAAACCAAGAUGAACAUAACCAAAGGUGGUCUGGUGUUGUUUUCAGCAAACUCAAAUUCUUCAUGUAUGGAGCUCUCAAAGAAAAUUGCAGAGCGGCUGGGGGUGGAGAUGGGCAAAGUGCAGGUUUACCAGGAACCUAACAGAGAAACGAGAGUACAAAUUCAAGAGUCCGUGAGGGGAAAAGAUGUUUUCAUCAUCCAAACCGUUUCAAAGGAUGUGAACACCACCAUCAUGGAGCUCCUGAUCAUGGUGUAUGCAUGUAAGACCUCUUGUGCCAAGAGCAUCAUCGGCGUGAUACCUUACUUUCCUUACAGCAAGCAGUGCAAGAUGAGAAAAAGAGGCUCUAUUGUCUCUAAAUUGCUGGCUUCCAUGAUGUGCAAAGCUGGUCUAACUCAUCUUAUUACUAUGGAUUUACACCAGAAGGAAAUUCAGGGCUUCUUCAAUAUUCCUGUUGACAAUUUAAGAGCAUCUCCCUUCUUAUUACAGUAUAUUCAAGAAGAGAUCCCAGAUUACAGGAAUGCAGUAAUCGUGGCCAAGUCUCCAGCAUCGGCGAAGAGGGCACAGUCUUUUGCUGAGCGCCUGCGCCUGGGAAUUGCAGUGAUUCAUGGAGAGGCGCAGGAUGCCGAGUCGGACUUGGUGGAUGGACGGCAUUCCCCACCCAUGGUCAGAAGUGUGGCUGCCAUCCACCCCAGCCUGGAGAUCCCCAUGCUGAUUCCUAAAGAAAAGCCCCCAAUCACAGUUGUGGGUGAUGUUGGAGGAAGGAUUGCCAUCAUCGUGGAUGACAUCAUUGAUGACGUCGACAGCUUUCUUGCUGCAGCAGAGACCCUGAAGGAAAGAGGUGCAUAUAAGAUCUUUGUGAUGGCAACUCAUGGCUUGUUGUCUUCUGACGCCCCCCGGCUGAUUGAAGAGUCUGCCAUUGAUGAGGUAGUGGUCACUAAUACAAUUCCACAUGAAGUCCAGAAGCUCCAGUGCCCCAAGAUUAAAACCGUGGAUAUCAGCAUGAUCCUUUCAGAGGCGAUCCGUCGGAUCCACAAUGGGGAGUCCAUGUCCUACCUUUUCAGAAACAUAGGCUUAGAUGACUGAACAGCUUUCCUUUAGGAAAACUCCCGAGGGCCAAACUGGAAACAUAAGAGUGACUGCUUGGUGGGAUAGAUUUCACAGGAACCGUCAUGUUUGUUCUUCCCUCUCCCCUGUAACCUCUCUUCUUGUUGAUUCCUAUGAAGAUAGACCAACUUUUUAUGUCGGUUUAGGUGUUCGUGAGUUUGGGGAGCCAUUUUUAUAAAAGAAAAACUUUAUUCUCCUCUUUUGAAAAGCAUUGUGCGGGGAUGACAAUUUGUCCAAGGCCCUGAAAGUUCCCGACGUGUAGUCAUUUGACUGAGGAGGGAGAGGAGUUGGAAUCUCAGGAUGCAAGGCCGCAGGCAGCAGGGGAACCAGUGAGCACCAUCUGCCAUUGGUCUUGGUGUGGCUUUGCCUCUCUUCCACGGCUGGCUGUUCUCUGUCAUGCUCUAGGGAGAUGAGAUGCUGGGAGAUGCGUCCCAAAGGGCAAGUGACAUGCCCUUGUUGCUAUCAAGGGUCUAAAUAUCAUCUGUCUUUAGCAUUUAGGACCCUGAACUUCCCCACAGAGUCCAUUGGACUCUCCUCCCCUGGAGCACUGGCACUGGGGUUUACACCCACCUGUCCUCCCACUCAGCCUGACUUACGAAGGAAAAUGUAGACUUGCUCAUAAAAACUAAUUUUUCUUCCUCCCCAAACACCUUAAACCUUUGCUUUCUGCUUUUCUUGUUAGAAUCUGGAAUAAAAUAGUAGUUUAUUUAGCACAAAAUUAAGAUCAGUCACCAGCCAUGCUGGCCUUCCCUGUGCUCCACAGAGAGCAGCAUGGCCCGUGGGCUUGCCCCAGUAGGCCAGGGCCUUGUUUGUGCAGAAGCACCAAGGGCUUUGCUUCUGGAAGCUGCCCAAGUAUUCCAUGGGCUCCUGCACCCCCAGCAGUGCCACCUUCACACCUAGUUUACUUCUGAGGAAACAGCUUUGGGGGAAAGGUGUUCUCUCCCCACGUUUUCAAGUCCAGUUAAUGAUAGAGCUAUUUACUUUGAAAAAGUGUCCUUGCUUUCUGUGAACCUGUUCCUAGAAAUGGGGCCUCUCGAUCUUCGGAAUGAAUUGGCUUAGGCCAUGGGAUGGGAGCUGGCGGCUUCUUUGCCAGGGCAGCUCUGUCCGUUGCAGGCUGGAGACCACCCGGUUUCUACAUUUGGAAGAAGAGCUUUGGGAGCAAGGUGUCACCGCCCAUGAGAUUGGAGCCUGCCUGUGGUGCCGGGACCUCCCACUGUUGCUGUGAAAUGAGCUGAAGAGGCUUCAGUAAGUCUCACAGCUCCAGCCUCUGCUGGGUUUGGGUUUUUUCCUACCUUCUGCUCUUUGGAUGCUAUCUAACCAUUUGCUACUAUAGAUGACGAUUGAAGUUUGACAUGUGGUUUGGCUUUAUACCAAGUGACAGGCACUUCCUGAACAGCCAUGGGGCGUCCCCUGGGGUGGCUGUGCUGACACAGUGGCCCUCCAUGGUUUGGGAAUGGUGGUGCUGCACUAGCAGGGAGGACGGGUUCUGCUCUGGGUUCCUGGGAGAUGCAGUGGACUCUCAAGCUCCUUCAGUGGGAGGUUUCCUCCUGCCACUGUGUCCAGGGAACUUUGACCUCCGUGGUUUUUCCUGGCAUGUCAUCCUUCAUGAAGAAAAGUCAUAUUUACAGAAGUGAAUGGAAACAUGUUUUAUGGGAGUGUUUUCUUCUGGGUAAUGAACUUGGCUAAAGCUAGGAUCCUUCACACCCACAGAGACUCGAGGGUCUGCUCUGAGUUGGCUCUGGAAGAACGUGAAGAUGAGUGCCGGGAGGAGCCACGGGCGGGGCGUGUGCCAGGGGAUGGCUGACAGAGGGCUGAGGCCAGGAAAGACAAUUGGCAGAUGAUGGUGGGGGAGAGUGGAGUGCCACGUCCUGGCCUGCCGGGCUGGGGCAGGAGGAUGGAGGCCCUCAAGGGGCAAGUCAGGUGCCCAGUAAGGACACCCAGACCUCUCAGCCACCCCCUUCCCUGUCUAGAGGAGGCCCUGGAUACAGUUUCUCCAUGUAUUGUAGGCUUUUCUUUGGCCAAAGAAGCCAUUUACCCUCUAGACUACUGUCUUUGCUAAAGACAGAGACAGUCUCUGUGGCCAGAGAUAAUAGUGAAGUGAACCCAGAAAUUCUAUGACAGAAAACAGGCUAAUCGUUUCCAGUUCUGACUGUGACGUCAUCGCUUGACAGAUGUGAUUAGAGCAAUGCUUUCGAGGCAUCAAGAGCACACAGGAUGCCACCAAAGGGCAUGAGUGGAUGGACAAAUACCAGUUCCACCACACUGGCACAUUAAUCUUUUGGCUCUCGCUGUUUAUUACCUCUAAGGCUGAGGAGGGAGGAUUGCUUGAACCCGGGAGGUGGAGGUUGCAAUGAGUCGAGAUCAUGCCACUGCACUCCAACCUGGGCAACAGAGCAAGACCCCAUCUCAAAAAAAAGUUGUAGAAUUCAACACCUACUUUUAACAGAUCAACCAGACAAAAGAUCAAUAAGGAAAGAGAUCACACCACUGUACUCCAUGCUGGUGACAGAGUGAGACUGUCUCAAGAAAAAAAAAAAGGCUGAAAUGCUAAAUUUUAUGUUGUACAUAUUGUGUACUUUAUAAAACAUUGUUGGAAGAAAUUAAAGACGACUUAAAUAGGAAGACA
This is an RNA transcript of Chlorocebus sabaeus (green monkey), 4090 nucleotides long. It is a transcript of the gene named phosphoribosyl pyrophosphate synthetase associated protein 2, with no coding region annotated. The record is from RefSeq and is a predicted model, not a curated record. NCBI's taxonomy places the organism in Eukaryota, Metazoa, Chordata, Mammalia, Primates, Cercopithecidae.